UUUUGACUCCGGAUCAAGAUAAAGAAGCAACUUCAGAUGUAUUGCCAAUCAAUUAUGAUGGAUUAGCAAAGGCAGUAAAGAAAGGAGACACCAUCUUUCUAGGUCAAUACCUGUUCACAGGAAGUGAAACUACAUCAGUUUGGCUUGAGAUAUGUACUUUACCUGGAAGCGGUGCAGCAGAUAUGUACUCGAAUUGUAAGCAGCGGAUAUAU
Long non-coding RNA from Papaver somniferum (opium poppy), 212 nucleotides. RefSeq lists it as uncharacterized. The transcript has 3 exons. Lineage: Eukaryota; Viridiplantae; Streptophyta; Magnoliopsida; Ranunculales; Papaveraceae. The record is from RefSeq and is a predicted model, not a curated record.